AGCAGCCGCGGUAAUUCCAGCUCCAAUAGCGUAUAUUAAAGUUGUUGCAGUUAAAAAGCUCGUAGUUGAAUUUCGGGAUCAAUAUAUCGGUCGUGCCAUUGGUACGUACUGGUAUCAUUGGUUUCUCCUUUCUGACGAACCAUGAUGUCAUUAAUUUGGUGUUAUGGGAAGUUAGGACUGUUACUUUGAAAAAAUUAGAGUGUUUAAAGCAGGCUUUAGCUUGAAUACAUUAGCAUGGAAUAAUGAAAUAGGACGUUCGAACCUAUUUUGUUGGUUUCUAGGAUCAACGUAAUGAUUAAUAGGGAUAGUUGGGGGGCAUUAGUAUUCAAUUGUCAGAGGUGAAAUUCUUGGAUUUAUUGAAGACUAACUACUGCGAAAGCAUUUGCCAAGGAUGUUUUCAUUAAUCAAGAACGAAAGUUAGGGGAUCGAAGACGAUCAGAUACCGUCGUAGUCUUAACCAUAAACUAUGCCGACUAGGGAUCGGAUGAUGUUAAUUUUUUUAAUGACUCAUUCGGCGCCU
This 520-nucleotide ribosomal RNA is filed under the name uncultured Glomus. RNAcentral's name for it is "SSU rRNA". It matches the Rfam family "Eukaryotic small subunit ribosomal RNA", at positions 569 to 1088 of the family's 1831-position model. Lineage: Eukaryota; Fungi; Glomeromycota; Glomeromycetes; Glomerales; Glomeraceae. The record is from RNAcentral.